This 595-nucleotide ribosomal RNA is filed under the name Exserohilum rostratum. RNAcentral's name for it is "eukaryotic LSU rRNA". The stretch from base 210 to 363 matches the Rfam family "5.8S ribosomal RNA". The record is from RNAcentral. Lineage: Eukaryota; Fungi; Ascomycota; Dothideomycetes; Pleosporales; Pleosporaceae.
CGUUUGAGGGGAACCUGCGGAGGGAUCAUUACACAACAAAAAUAUGAGGGUGUGGUUUGCUGGCAACAGCGUCCGCCCCAAGUAUUUUUCACCCAUGUCUUUUGCGCACUUUUUGUUUCCUGGGCGAGUUCGCUCGCCACCAGGACCCAACCAUAAACCUUUUUUUAUGCAGUUGCAAUCAGCGUCAGUAUAAUAAUUCAAUUUAUUAAAACUUUCAACAACGGAUCUCUUGGUUCUGGCAUCGAUGAAGAACGCAGCGAAAUGCGAUACGUAGUGUGAAUUGCAGAAUUCAGUGAAUCAUCGAAUCUUUGAACGCACAUUGCGCCCUUUGGUAUUCCAAAGGGCAUGCCUGUUCGAGCGUCAUUUGUACCCUCAAGCUUUGCUUGGUGUUGGGCGUCUUUUUGUCUCUCCCCUUGUUGGGGGAGACUCGCCUUAAAACGAUUGGCAGCCGACCUACUGGUUUUCGGAGCGCAGCACAAAUUUGCGCCUUCCAAUCCACGGGGCGGCAUCCAGCAAGCCUUUGUUUUCUAUAACAAAUCCACAUUUUGACCUCGGAUCAGGUAGGGAUACCCGCUGAACUUAAGCAUAUCAAAUA